AUGCCUUUUCCUGUUCCUGUUGCUCCAUGGGAGGACAUUUAUAUGGACUUCGUCUUGGGCUUGCCAAGAACAAGACGAGGAGGUGAUGCUGUAUUUGUGGUCGUGGAUAGAUUCUCUAAGAUGGCUCAUUUCAUCCCAUGCCGCAAGACAACAGAUGCUCAUCAUGUGGCAAACCUAUUCUUUCGAGAAGUGGUCAGACUUCAUGGAGUUCCAAGGUCCAUUGUCUCAGACCGUGAUAGCAAGUUUCUUGCUGCAUUUUGGCUCACUUUGUGGAAGCAAUUCAACACCGAAUUGAAAUUUUCUAGCACUGCUCAUCCACAAACAGAUGGACAAACGGAAGUGGUGAACAAGUUUUUGGGUAAUCUGGUUCAUUGCAUUUGUGGAGAAAGAAAGGGACAAUGGGAUCUGGCUUUAUUUCUUGCAGAAUUCUCCUACAAUAACUCCAAGCAUAGAUCCACAUGA
RNAcentral lists this ribosomal RNA (462 nucleotides) under Triticum aestivum (bread wheat). RNAcentral's name for it is "partial small subunit ribosomal RNA". Lineage: Eukaryota; Viridiplantae; Streptophyta; Magnoliopsida; Poales; Poaceae. The record is from RNAcentral.